GGUAAUUUGACCGUGCAAAGGUAGCAUAAUCAAUAGUCUUUUAAUUGGAGGCUUGAAUGAAAGGUUUGACGGAGGAGAAGCUGUCUUUUUAUUAGAAUUGAAUUUAACUUUUGUGUAAGAAGGCAUUAAUGAUUUAAAGGGACGAUAAGACCCUAUAAAACUUUAUAUAUUAUAUUUAUUUAAUAAAAUAGUUAAUUAAUUAUUGGUGGUUAAUUAUAUUUUGCUGGGGUGGCAGGAAUAUAAUUCUAACUGUUUUAAAUGUAAAAUAUUUAUUAAUAGAGAGUGGUCCUUUGUUUGAGAGUUGAGAGUAAGUUACUUUAGGGAUAACAGCAUAAUUUCUUUUGAGAGUUCUUAUCGAAGAUGGUAGUUGUGACCUCGAUGUUGAAUUAAAUUUUCCUUUUAAUGUAGGAGUUU
Molecule: ribosomal RNA, 414 nt
Filed under: Synalpheus bousfieldi
Lineage: Eukaryota; Metazoa; Arthropoda; Malacostraca; Decapoda; Alpheidae
Description: partial 16S ribosomal RNA
Source: RNAcentral